This 556-nucleotide ribosomal RNA is filed under the name uncultured bacterium. RNAcentral describes it as "partial 16S ribosomal RNA". It matches the Rfam family "Bacterial small subunit ribosomal RNA", at positions 355 to 900 of the family's 1533-position model. The record is from RNAcentral.
UGGGGAAUAUUGCACAAUGGGCGCAAGCCUGAUGCAGCCAUGCCGCGUGUGUGAAGAAGGCCUUCGGGUUGUAAAGCACUUUCAGCGAGGAGGAAGGGUAGUGUGUUAAUAGCACAUUGCAUUGACGUUACUCGCAGAAGAAGCACCGGCUAACUCCGUGCCAGCAGCCGCGGUAAUACGGAGGGUGCAAGCGUUAAUCGGAAUUACUGGGCGUAAAGCGCACGCAGGCGGUUUGUUAAGUCAGAUGUGAAAUCCCCGCGCUUAACGUGGGAACUGCAUUUGAAACUGGCAAGCUAGAGUCUUGUAGAGGGGGGUAGAAUUCUAGGUGUAGCGGUGAAAUGCGUAGAGAUCUGGAGGAAUACCGGUGGCGAAGGCGGCCCCCCUGGACAAAGACUGACGCUCAGGUGCGAAAGCGUGGGGAGCAAAACAGGAUUAGAUACCCUGGUAGUCCACGCUGUAAACGAUGUCGACUUGGAGGUUGUGCCCUUGAGGCGUGGCUUCCGGAGCUAACGCGUUAAGUCGACCGCCUGGGGGAGUACGGCCGCAAGGUUAAAAC